CAUUAGGUGGCUGAAAGUAAGUAAUGGUCUCUUAAACCAACCCAUAGUAUUUAACGUUUACUUCUAAUGG
Molecule: transfer RNA, 70 nt
Filed under: Tenebrionoidea sp. 20 KM-2017
Lineage: Eukaryota; Metazoa; Arthropoda; Insecta; Coleoptera
Description: tRNA-Lys
Source: RNAcentral